Molecule: ribosomal RNA, 242 nt
Filed under: uncultured bacterium
Lineage: Bacteria
Description: partial 16S ribosomal RNA
Rfam family: Bacterial small subunit ribosomal RNA
Source: RNAcentral
CGGACCGGCGCACGGGUGAGUAACGCGUAUGCAACCUGCCCGAUACCGGGGUAUAGCCCAUGGAAACGUGGAUUAACACCCCAUAGUACUUUUAUCCUGCAUGGGAUGUGAGUUAAAUGUUCAAGGUAUCGGAUGGGCAUGCGUCCUAUUAGUUAGUUGGCGGGGUAACAGCCCACCAAGACGAUGAUAGGUAGGGGUUCUGAGAGGAAGGUCCCCCACAUUGGAACUGAGACACGGUCCAA